AAGGUGGGGCAGAUGAUUGGGGUGAAGUCGUAACAAGGUAGCCGUAUCGGAAGGUGCGGCUGGAUCACCUCCUUUCUAAGGA
This 82-nucleotide ribosomal RNA is filed under the name Bacillus altitudinis. Its description in RNAcentral is "partial 16S ribosomal RNA". It matches the Rfam family "Bacterial small subunit ribosomal RNA", at positions 1459 to 1533 of the family's 1533-position model. RNAcentral also lists the same sequence under 1 other name. Lineage: Bacteria; Bacillati; Bacillota; Bacilli; Caryophanales; Bacillaceae. The record is from RNAcentral.